RNAcentral lists this long non-coding RNA (1174 nucleotides) under Struthio camelus australis. RNAcentral describes it as "lncRNA (ENSSCUG00000001468.1)". Lineage: Eukaryota; Metazoa; Chordata; Aves; Struthioniformes; Struthionidae. The record is from RNAcentral.
AUGGUACAGAAAUUAGGGCUCCACAGCUUCAACCUCUCAGAUGGCUCCUGUAAGCCACUCUCAUCCGCUCUUGCCAGGAACUCCAGCCUUUGGCAUCUGAAUCUGUCUGGGAAUAUUUUCACUGACCAGUGUGCUGCUGACACGAAGAUCCUCAUCCAGAGGUGUCCCAACCUCACUGAAAUCUGGCCGGGCUUGAAUGACUUCACCCUUGCAGUGGAGUGGCAGCUGAAGAACCUGCAGAGAGAAGGGCUGAAGAUGGUUUUUUGCAGUAGCUCUCUGGCAAGGCGCUGGUGCUCUGCUUGGGAAACCAUACAGAGCUGGGCAACGUGAGCUCUUGUCUGCCACAGCGAGCCCGGAGCUGCAUUUUGUAGCACAUACACGGGCAAGAAGCUUGUACAACGAGAGGCUCACUAACAGGCAGGCUCUGAUGAAUGGCAGCAGAUUGCUCACCUGCUUGGACCCUUUCUGCUGCCAGUCUGUGUCCUGUGGCUUCUUUCUUGGGGUGAUGGCAGCAACCUUUUUGGCUUGCUGCUGGCAUGACAGGACACUGAGGAAAGGGAUUGGCAGAAGGAACUGUGGCUGAAUGUUCAGGCACCCUCGCCGUGUCCAAGCCUUCCCGAAGGGAGGAAGGAAGCUGAGACAUGGUAUAUGGAGCACCCCAGUGUCAGCAUGGAGCGGUAACACCCAGAUAAGGAAGCUGAUCCAGUGCAAGGCAUAAUUACUUUGACUGCAGCCCAAAAGGGGCGGCAGAAGCCAGAAGGCCUUGCCUUGGCCCAGGGCACAUGUUUAUGUGCCAGUGCCAUCUGAUGUGAUGCAAGAGCCAUCUCCUUAUUGCUAUCCUCGAGGCAGCCUGUUUGAUACCUGCCUGCUCCGUAUCUGUCCUCUUCCUCAUGCUGAGGGGCUCAGGCUCCCACUGAGUUACUGUAGUGGUUGAGGUGCCAUUGGCUUUAGGGUUGGGAGCACCUUGCCAGUGGAUUCCCCACUUUGCCGGUCCCCAGGGAGGUGGCUGCAGGGCUCUGUGAAUGGACAGGCGGGCCGGGGGCCGAGGAGGCGUGAAGGUUGCUGGAGGAGAAUGAGUGCUCAGGGAAGGUGAGGCUGCAGGUUUGAGGGCUUCUUUAGCCUCCCUGUAGGCCCAGCAUCUCCCCUUUGCUCUUGCAAACAGGGUGCACGACCC